This is a non-coding RNA of Erythranthe guttata (spotted monkey flower), 1822 nucleotides long. Lineage: Eukaryota; Viridiplantae; Streptophyta; Magnoliopsida; Lamiales; Phrymaceae. The record is from RefSeq and is a predicted model, not a curated record.
GUUCUGUUUUUGCCUUUUCAUUGUUACCACUGUUUUUUUUUGGGCUUUGAAUAUUUAAUUGUUACUACAGUUAAAUUCGGGGUUUUCUAUUAUAUUCAUAUGUAAGUGCUUGAAUGAAAGAAGCUAAGUGCAUAUGUUGCUCUUUCUCUAUGUGGGUUUUGGUGGAACAUGCGGGAAUUUCUUCAGCUGCCCAUUUUGUCGGAAGGUUCGGGAAAUUGUUGCAGUAUUGGAUCUUGAUGUGCUGUAUUAUCCCUGUCCAAGAAACGGCCCGAAUUUCCGGGCCAAGGUUUCUCAAAUGGGUGGAAAACAACAGUUCCCUUACAUGGUGGAUCCAAACACGGGAGUCGUUAUAUACGAAUCAGAUGACAUAAUUAAGUAUUUGGUCGGGAAAUAAGGUAUGUUACUUCAAUCUGGUUUUUAGAUGCCACCUUAAUUUUUUGUUUUAUUUUUUCAUCGUAACGAAAAUAUCUUGCAAAUACAUGAUGUCAUAUAUAAAAGUUUGAGAUGCAAGUUUGGUUAUUUUGGUACUUUUAUCGUCGUACGUCGUCUCAUUGUACUUUUAGCUUAGUGAGUUUUACCGAUUCUGAGUCGGCGGUGCUGAUUAUUCCUCAGGUGAUGGCAAUGUCCCGCUUUAGUUGUCUCUCGGUCUAUUAACUACUUUGACAGGGGGAUUUGCUUUGAUUGGUCGAAUGGGGAAGGUGCAGUUUCGCUCGUGCAUGCAUUUACAUGUUCUCAUAUCCAUUGCAAAUUUAAUCUCAUUUCAUUGAUUCAAUGAUGACCAAACAGAUGAGGCAAUCAUUUGAUAACUUCUUCUUCAGAGAGUGAGUGUUCUUUCUGUGAUUUAAUGUUACAAUUCAUUUCGGAUCAGAUGCAUUCUUUUUCUGCCGUUACAAUUUACUAUGAUAAAUGAUUCCACUCUCUGUUUCGAAUUAAAUAAAGAUGCUUGUUUAUUUACCAUAAAUUGGUGUCCCUGUUUCUUUUCCCACUUUUGAUUUAUUGCCUCGGCCUCACAGCCGGAGAGCCUCAACAGCGGUUCAUGGUAUAGCUGAGUCUUUCUUAUACCAACUCCGUGUAUGCUUUUAAUUUGAAGUAAAUGGUAAAUUUCGUUGAUGGUGUGCUUGCAUGUAUAGAAUUUGGAAGAAAAAAAAUUAAUCGAAAUGUGAAAGUAUUGGCUAUCAACUUUCAGGGCACUAUUAUAAUUUCAGUUGUGCAGACGGCAUAACUUUCGCAAACUAUUGGCUAUCAACUUUCAGGACACUAUUAUAAUUUCUGCUGAAAUGCGAAAGUAAUUGUACUGGUAAGUGGACAUUUUCAAUAUUAUGUUCUUUUCAUAUCCUCUUUCUUCCACUUCAUCACUUUAUGGUAUAAGUUAGUUUGCCUUACUUAAUUUCUUUUGUAUUUUCUAUUGUCUGAAUUGCCUUAUUAUUAUUAUUAUUAUUAUUUUGGUCCAUUAUAACUCAUUUCCCUAAUGUAAGUUAAUAUGGGGACCGAUCUUCCCUUAUUUCAUCUAUGUAUAUCACGUGGUUUAGUAGUCGGACCAGCGGCGAAAUCAUCAGGAAACAGGUCACCGGAAAAUGACCGGAAUCUGUUCUCCAUGCCAGGGAAAAUCUGAGGUCGAGGGAAUCUUUGAUCGGCCAUAGUAUGAGUGGUUCCAGUUCAACAAGGAGGUUGGUUAUUCAUCAAGGGAUAUCCAUGGACCAUGAAGCAAGACUAUGCAAAGGUUUCUACUUUUCCUUUAUCUUUGUUGCAGUUAAAUGGUAAUUAUUUCCCGUGUAAAUCUUUAAGAGUUGCGAUAAAUAGAAAUUUAUAUCUUUGAUUGCUA